RNAcentral lists this ribosomal RNA (495 nucleotides) under uncultured bacterium. RNAcentral's name for it is "partial 16S ribosomal RNA". It matches the Rfam family "Bacterial small subunit ribosomal RNA", at positions 30 to 507 of the family's 1533-position model. The record is from RNAcentral.
UGAACGCUGGCGGCGUGCCUAAUACAUGCACGUCGAGCGAACAGACGAGGAGCUUGCUCCUCUGACGUUAGCGGCGGACGGGUGAGUAACACGUGGAUAACCUACCUAUAAGACUGGGAUAACUUCGGGAAACCGGAGCUAAUACCGGAUAAUAUAUUGAACCGCAUGGUUCAAUAGUGAAAGACGGUUUUGCUGUCACUUAUAGAUGGAUCCGCGCCGCAUUAGCUAGUUGGUAAGGUAACGGCUUACCAAGGCGACGAUGCGUAGCCGACCUGAGAGGGUGAUCGGCCACACUGGAACUGAGACACGGACCAGACUCCUACGGGAGGCAGCAGUAGGGAAUCUUCCGCAAUGGGCGAAAGCCUGACGGAGCAACGCCGCGUGAGUGAUGAAGGUCUUCGGAUCGUAAAACUCUGUUAUUAGGGAAGAACAAAUGUGUAAGUAACUAUGCACGUCUUGACGGUACCUAAUCAGAAAGCCACGGCUAACUACGUG